This 253-nucleotide ribosomal RNA is filed under the name uncultured bacterium. Its description in RNAcentral is "partial 16S ribosomal RNA". It matches the Rfam family "Bacterial small subunit ribosomal RNA", at positions 524 to 776 of the family's 1533-position model. The record is from RNAcentral.
UACGGAGGAUCCAAGCGUUAUCCGGAAUCAUUGGGUUUAAAGGGUCCGUAGGUGGACCGUUAAGUCAGAGGUGAAAUCCUGCAGCUCAACUGUAGAAUUGCCUUUGAUACUGGCGGUCUUGAAUCAUUGUGAAGUGGUUAGAAUAUGUGGUGUAGCGGUGAAAUGCAUAGAUAUCACAUAGAAUACCGAUUGCGAAGGCAGAUCACUAACAAUGCAUUGACACUGAUGGACGAAAGCGUGGGGAGCGAACAGG